Non-coding RNA from Pelobates cultripes (western spadefoot toad), 357 nucleotides. The record is from the annotation of a GenBank genome assembly. NCBI's taxonomy places the organism in Eukaryota, Metazoa, Chordata, Amphibia, Anura, Pelobatidae.
GGUAAACAUAGCAGUUUCUCUGAAACUGCUGUGUUUACAGAAAAAAGGGUUAAACCUAGCUGGACCUGGCACCCAUACCACUUAAUUAAGCUGAAGUGGUCUGGGUGCCUAUAGUGUUCCUUUAAUGGCUUUAUCAAAACAAAGAAAACAUUUGGUUUGUCCAAAUCAAUUUGUCUGAGGGAAAAAAAAAAAGUUGUUUGGAGUGUUUGUCCAUGUGGUGUUUUAGUUUGGACGGAUUUAGACUAUUCCAUCGUUUCAGGAAUAAAGAUUCAGAGAAUCCGAAACUGAACGAAAAUGGGCCAUAUUUGCAGAGCUCCGAAAUAAACUAAAUACCUCAUCUUACUUGUUACGUGAUCU